UUAUUGAGGUUUAAGUGAGUCACUUAGAAAGUAGAAUUUUAGGUCUAGUAAGGAUUUUUAAGAUUUUUUGCAAUCUACUAGUUGGAUGGGAGUGAAACUUAUGUGAGAGGCUAUUAGACUUGUUUUUCUAUGUAUAUGAGAAUUUUGAGAUCAAUCAAAUGGUACAAAGGAGAGACAUUGGCUUUGGAAUAUUGGCAUCAAGGUUGGAGAAGGAGGUCAACCAAUACCCAAGGACGUUUUUGACGUUAUCGUCUAUUUGGUAAUUUCGAUCCUUUUCAAAAAAUUUGUGAUUGUUUUUAACUUAGUUUUUAAGAAGUGUGCAAAAUUUGAGUUAAGAGAAACGGUUCAUUUAUUAGUUAUUGAGGUUUAAAUCUAUUGUAGGAAUUACUAGGAUUUGGUUAGGAAUUGGUUUAGGAUUUAGAGUUUGGUUAGGAUUUGAUUUAGGAUUAAGGUUUAAUUAGGAUUUGAUUUAGGAUUAAGGUUUAAUUAUGAUUUGAUUUAGGAUUUAAGAUUUGAAUUAGAGUUUGGUUACAGUUUGAUUUAAGCUUUGAAAUUUGAUUUAGAAUUUGGUUAGGAUUUGAUUUAGGAUUAGGAUUUGAUUAGGGUUUGAUUUAGGAUUUAGGAUUUGGAUUACAGUUUUAUUAGGAUUUGAUUUAGGAUUUAGAAUUUGGUUUAGGAUUUAGGAUUUGAUUUAGGAUUUAGGAUUUGGUUUAGGAUUUAGGAUUUGAUUUAGGAUUUAGAAUUUUAUUAGGGUUUAAGAUUUAAUUAGUUUUAGCUUAAAGUUUGAAUAAAGUCCAAUAGGAUUUUAACUAGAUUUAAAUUAAGAUUGAAUUGAGAUGUAUUUGAGAGAUAUUUGUGAUUAUUCUAAUAUUUCUUGAAGAUUUUUUAUUAUUUCUUUGAAAUUUCUUUGAGGUU
Molecule: long non-coding RNA, 915 nt
Filed under: Physcomitrium patens
Lineage: Eukaryota; Viridiplantae; Streptophyta; Bryopsida; Funariales; Funariaceae
Description: long non-coding RNA (PPAT_LNC005460)
Source: RNAcentral